AACGACUCUCGGCAACGGAUAUCUCGGCUCUCGCAUCGAUGAAGAACGCAGCGAAAUGCGAUACUUGGUGUGAAUUGCAGGAUCCCGUGAACCAUCGAGUUUUUGAACGCAAGUUGCGCCCGAAGCCUUUUGGCCGAGGGCACGUCUGCCUGGGUG
This 156-nucleotide ribosomal RNA is filed under the name Euphorbia exigua. RNAcentral's name for it is "5.8S ribosomal RNA". It matches the Rfam family "5.8S ribosomal RNA". Rfam says of the family: 5.8S ribosomal RNA (5.8S rRNA) is a component of the large subunit of the eukaryotic ribosome. It is transcribed by RNA polymerase I as part of the 45S precursor that also contains 18S and 28S rRNA. Functionally, it is thought that 5.8S rRNA may be involved in ribosome translocation. The record is from RNAcentral. Lineage: Eukaryota; Viridiplantae; Streptophyta; Magnoliopsida; Malpighiales; Euphorbiaceae.